This 468-nucleotide ribosomal RNA is filed under the name uncultured bacterium. Its description in RNAcentral is "partial 16S ribosomal RNA". It matches the Rfam family "Bacterial small subunit ribosomal RNA", at positions 28 to 507 of the family's 1533-position model. The record is from RNAcentral.
GACGAACGCUGGCGGCGUGCUUAACACAUGCAAGUCGAACGGAAAGGCCCGGCUUUUGUGGGGUGCUCGAGUGGCGAACGGGUGAGUAACACGUGAGUAACCUGUCCUUGACUGUGGGAGAACUUCAGGAAACUGGGGCGAAUACCGGAUAGGAGCUCCUGCUGCAUGGGGGGGGUGGGAAAGUUUCGGCGGUUGGGGAUGGACUCGCGGCUUAUCAGCUUGUUGGUGGGGUAGUGGCUUACCAAGGCUUUGACGGGUAGCCGGCCUGGGAGGGUGACCGGCCACAUUGGGACUGAGCUACGGCCCAGACUCCUACGGGAGGCAGCAGUGGGGAAUAUUGCACAAUGGGCGGAAGCCUGAUGCAGCAACGCCGCGUGCUGGAUGACGGCCUUCGGGUUGUAACCCGCUUUCGCCUGUGACGAAGCGUGAGUGACGGUAAUGGGUAAAGAAGCACCGGCUAACUACGUG